This 387-nucleotide ribosomal RNA is filed under the name uncultured bacterium. RNAcentral describes it as "bacterial SSU rRNA". It matches the Rfam family "Bacterial small subunit ribosomal RNA", at positions 28 to 409 of the family's 1533-position model. The record is from RNAcentral.
GACGAACGCUGGCGGCGUGCUUAAUACAUGCAAGUGGAGCGACGAACCAGGCUUCGGCCUGGGGCAGAGCCGCGAACGGGUGAGUAACACGUGGGUAACCUGCCUCGAUGACCGGGACAACCCGGGGAAACCCGGGCUAAUACCGGAUGUGCUGUCCCCACAUCAGUGGAGACAGGAAAGGAAGCUUCGGCCUCCGCAUCGAGAUGGGCCCGCGGCCCAUUAGCUUGUUGGUGUGGUAACGGCUCACCAAGGCUGCGAUGGGUAGCUGGUCUGAGAGGACGAUCAGCCACACUGGGACUGAGACACGGCCCAGACUCCUACGGGAGCAGCAGUAGGGAAUCUUGCGCAAUGCGCGAAAGCGUGACGCAGCAACGCCGCGUGGGGGAA